CAGCAAAUAGAGCGGCUGCUCCCGCCAUCUUUUAUCAAACGCCUUUUCUUUUUGUUUUGUCUUUUAUUCUUAAAAUGAGACCACAAACUACCACUACUGUUUCUACAUCGUCAUCUGUGUUUGAUUAUUCUAAAUUCACGUAUGGUAUUGUAAAGUGAAUAA
This is a long non-coding RNA of Xiphophorus hellerii (green swordtail), 162 nucleotides long. RefSeq lists it as uncharacterized. Lineage: Eukaryota; Metazoa; Chordata; Actinopteri; Cyprinodontiformes; Poeciliidae. The transcript has 3 exons. The record is from RefSeq and is a predicted model, not a curated record.